This 468-nucleotide ribosomal RNA is filed under the name uncultured bacterium. RNAcentral describes it as "partial 16S ribosomal RNA". It matches the Rfam family "Bacterial small subunit ribosomal RNA", at positions 28 to 507 of the family's 1533-position model. The record is from RNAcentral.
GACGAACGCUGGCGGCGUGCUUAACACAUGCAAGUCGAACGGAAAGGCCCUGCUUUUGUGGGGUGCUCGAGUGGCGAACGGGUGAGUAACACGUGAGUAACCUGCCCUUGACUUUGGGAUAACUUCAGGAAACUGGGGCUAAUACCGGAUAGGAGCUCCUGCUGCAUGGUGGGGGUUGGAAAGUUUCGGCGGUUGGGGAUGGACUCGCGGCUUAUCAGCUUGUUGGUGGGGUAGUGGCUUACCAAGGCUUUGGCGGGUAGGCGGCCUGAGAGGGUGACCGGCCACAUUGGUACUGAGAUACGGCCCAGACUCCUACGGGAGGCAGCAGUGGGGAAUAUUGCACAAUGGGCGGAAGCCUGAUGCAGCAACGCCGCGUGCGGGAUGACGGCCUUCGGGUUGUAAACCGCUUUCGCCUGUGACGAAGCGUGAGUGACGGUAAUGGGUAAAGAAGCACCGGCUAACUACGUG